RNAcentral lists this long non-coding RNA (478 nucleotides) under Triticum aestivum (bread wheat). RNAcentral's name for it is "long non-coding RNA (TAES_LNC020528)". The record is from RNAcentral. Lineage: Eukaryota; Viridiplantae; Streptophyta; Magnoliopsida; Poales; Poaceae.
UUUAUUACAAUACCGAUGUGUGGCUGAAGCUCUUUCUUUCUAUCCAUAGUCUCAUGUGCUGAUGUUGCCCUCUCUCCAUAGGCCCAGUGAAAAACUAGUGUCAGGACGAACACAAAUGCUUUUCUACAGGAACAAAAAAAUGAUCAUGCUACUUUCCACAUAACAUAAUGAAAAGCUCAAUGUACUUUUGAAAAAGAAAAAUCAAACUGACGUUUGAAAAUGUGCAGCAGAAGUUCAUGUCAAACUAACGGGGCGAUUCAGCGUUUAUUCUUGAAAAUGUGGAGAAAAUUGUACAUGCUCUGUAUGUCAAAAGUUUAGCUUUAAUUUAUGUUUUGCGAAGGUCAAAAUGUUGUGUUCGAGAAAGUCAAGUGUGUUAUCUCAGCAAGUUCAAAAAUAAAUUUAAACAUGCAAGGUAAAACAUGCAAGAAAACAAAAAGAAAGGGAGAAGUUCAAUUUCUAAAGAUGACACGGUUCAACG